GACGAACGCUGGCGGCGUGCUUAACACAUGCAAGUCGAACGGUGAAGCGCCUUCCUUUUUGGUGGGUGUGGAUGAGUGGCGAACGGGUGAGUAACACGUGAGUAACCUGCCCCCUUCUUCUGGAUAACCGCAUGAAAGUGUGGCUAAUACGGGAUAUUCUGGGUCUGUCGCAUGAUGGGUCUGGGAAAGAUAUUGUUUCGGUGGGGAUGGGCUCGCGGCCUAUCAGCUUGGUGGUGGGGUGAUGGCCUACCAAGGCGGUGACGGGUAGCCGGCCUGGGAGGGUGGACGGUCACACUGGGACUGAGACACGGCCCAGACUCCUACGGGAGGCAGCAGUGGAGAAUAUUGCACAAUGGGCGCAAGCCUGAUGCAGCGACGCCGCGUGAGGGAUGGAGGCCUGCGGGUUGUGAACCUCUUUCGCCAGUGAAGCAGGCCUGCCUCGUUUGUGGGUGGGUUGACGGUAGCUGGAUAAGAAGCGCCGGCUAACUACGUG
Molecule: ribosomal RNA, 493 nt
Filed under: uncultured bacterium
Lineage: Bacteria
Description: partial 16S ribosomal RNA
Rfam family: Bacterial small subunit ribosomal RNA
Source: RNAcentral